RNAcentral lists this long non-coding RNA (4001 nucleotides) under Rattus norvegicus (Norway rat). RNAcentral describes it as "long non-coding RNA NONRATT028463". The record is from RNAcentral. Lineage: Eukaryota; Metazoa; Chordata; Mammalia; Rodentia; Muridae.
CUCUCUUAUGUAGACUUAUCUUCCUUACAGAACUGUUCCACUUAAAACUGGUCCAACACUUCCCCACUAGCCCCUGUUGUCUUCCUGUGGCUUUGAUAAUAUUUGGGAGAUUCUGUUGUGUAUACCUCAUUGAGUAUCCAUUUUUGCUACAAAAUUUAGUGCCAUCUCUUGAGUGGGUGUCGAGCCCACUGGCUGAGUUGCACAGUAGAGCACUAAAUAUUUAAGCUGAACUUGCUGUAGUCCCCUUUCCAGUCCAGUGCCUUUCUAUCUUUACUGAGCUGCUUCUGUCCCCAGUCCUUGUUGGGAAGAUUUUGUUUUACCUUUCUGGGACUGUCACCAUCUCCCAUACAGUUUGGAGUUUCUUUUUCUAUUAUUCAGCAAUCUGUUUUAGAAGGGGUGAAAGGGUUGGAAAGGGUAAAGACCUAAUUCUCAGUCUACUCUUGUAGGAACUGCUCAGGAACUGAGACUGGAUUCUGUCCAGAACAGCUUACUAGAAGUACCAGAGCCUCACUGUCAGUGAUAUCCUCUGGCACUUGAAGUUUCAAAAUACAACAGAAGUACUCUAACUUCACAGAGCAUCUGAAUGCAACUUUGACCUCAGCAUACACACACUUUUAUAUGUGACAAAAAAAGUUCCCUAGUCCUUGAGUUCAUGUGAUCUUAUGAUGAAUGCAGUUCUUUAGAAAAGCUCGAGAAUUUCUAGAAAGACGAGGAGAAAAGUUAACCCUGUUUAUUAAUUCCAUGGGCCAGACUGGACAUCAUGAGGGAGAUGGUCUUGACCUGUAUCCCCUGAGGCUAUCUGCACACCAACCUGGAAAUCAUGAAACGAGCCUGUCUUAUCAGCUCUUGGGAAGUAGAAGUAAGAGGAUUAUGAAUUUUAGGCCAGCCUUGGAUCCGUUACAAGCUGAAGACCAGACUGGAUUCUGUGAGUGUCUUGCCUGUCCCUGGAGAAUGUUUUCUCUUUUUGUUUCCAGCAGCAGGGGAAGCCACAGCACCAUCUGGCACGUGAGUGGAGGUGAUCUCGUCACGUGCAGAUCACUGAUGGAGUGGUUUCACUGCCAGUGGGACUCUUGGCUCUUCCACUGUAGUUUUCUUUAAGUCUGAUAGUUUGAAGGUGCAGUCUUUCAUGGUGGAGCAAUCUCAAGGCAGGAGCAUGAGGUAACUACUGGUCACAUUGCACCUGCAGUCAAGGGACAGAAGACAGUAAUGCACUCCACAAGAAUAGUGAUUUGAGGGCCAUUCCCCACUGAACCUUAUAGGAAGAACAGAGAAAUUAUGCUGAACUGGGAACUUAGAAGAGAUAUGCAAAAGAACUUCCACAAUAGAAAUACAGUUGCUGUUCUAGUCAUCCCUAUUUUUAAGUUAGAGUCACUAUCACCUUUGCUGCUGCUUUCCUUCUUAGGAGCCUUGGCACCCAAGGCCACUCUUCCUUGGGUGGCAUUUCUUGUCUCCAUUCAACCUUUUUGAUGUUACUUAGAGUGCAGAUCAUGGCUUCCACUGUAACUCCUUUUAGACUUGGCUGUCUUCUGGUUUUAGUGCUGAAUACAGGUUCAUUCUGUGGGCUCUUGAACUGUCUCCUGCAUCCCUAUCCUCUUUGUCUUCCUGUAGGAGAGCCUACAGUGAUGUUAGCUUUACUUUCCUAGGUGCCACUGGGACCUUUGCUAGAAUAGGGAUAUUUUCAGUGUCAAAUAGAGCUUGUUCUGUGUGCUUCUUAAAUAGGCAAGCUACCUGUAUCUUCCCUGUCUGGUUGCUUUUUCUCUAGUCCUGUAACAAGUAUGGUGGUUUUGGAAGCUUUUGUUUGUUUUGUUUUAAGUUGGGGAAGUAAAGCUAUGCUUCUGCUUGUCUGAAUCAUUGGAAUCCCAACUUAGAGCCUGUCCUGAGUUUUAAGGCAUAUCAAACAUACUACCCUGCUUUUAACUUCUAAAUAUUCAAGUCAUUUGGUAUACACAGAAGUAACCUACUAAUCCAAAGAUACACAUUGAGGCACAUAGGAAGGGCAAGAGCAGGUCAUCAGAUUCUGCAUUUGAUGUCUAGUUCAAACUCCUGAAUGAAGAAGCAGAGGGAUAGUAGUGCCAUGUGCCUUCGUAGUGUCCAGGAAAUCUGGGUUGGUUACAGGAGAAAGUACCAGUAUUUCUUGGUUCCAGUAAGUAGCACAAGAGUUGAGAUGGAGAACUAGGGACAGGGAGAGGCCUGCACAUUGUUUUGUGCCUGAUGAAGAGCACCAUGGGGAGGGCCAGCUGCUGACCAACAGCUGCUUGCAGAUCUUGCAGCCUCUUCCCUGUUUUAGUUCUUGAGAAAAAUGUGGCUGACCGACCACUCCUUGUGAUGUACAGAGCCCCGGCUAAGUGCCAGCCUCAGAUCUCCUACCGAUCUGGCAGCUGGACAAGUCAGCCAGAGUUCUGAUCACCUGGCCCUGCAUUCCUGUUUCAGUGCUACAACAGAAUGUGAGAGGCAAAUCUCCACAUUGCCUUGAUUUUCCUUUCCUCUAACCCAGAACAGAGGCCAGUGGAGAGGAUUGCCCAAUGCAUGCUGUGCACAACUCAUCAGACUCACACUGCCUCACCACAUACGCCCUGAAGUGGGGUGUGUGGACUGUGUUACUCCUCCCCACUACCUCUUACCCAGUAGUGGAGAGGGUGGCCUUGUUUUGGCUGUAUUUAAGUGGCAAGUGAAUCCGGGGCCCUGCACUCUCUCCCCUGCUUUCUGGGCUCAUGAGCCUGCCUUGCAGUGCAUGAGAGGAGCCACCUCCUGACCUCCUUAGUACCCUUCAGUGGGAAGUCUGACCUCUGCUGAAACAUGCUGAGCAUGGCAGCUGUGAGGAACCUCCUACAUCUGCUUUCUGGCUGUGCUGACUUGGGAUUUUUAACCUUAUAUAUCUUUUUCCUUUAUUCAAAACAAAACAAUUUUUAGCACACUGAAAAAAAAAAAAGCCAAAUGUUUUGUGCCUUUCUAAGGCAGCGCUGUACCCCAGGCUGCAUCUUAGGACUUAAUAUGGAAAUACCAGAGUCUGAGCUCCUCUGCCUUGAAUAUCUUUAGCCCUGGAGUUUUGGGGACAAGGAUGAUUGGCUGGAAAGGUGGCACACUAGGUGCCUAGAGUCUCCUUUCUCUGCCACGAGGCUUCACUGCAAGAGAGCAGCAUUUCAUUCCGGCCUCCCGUGGUUGGUUCCAGGCAGCAGUUAGUGCUCAGGUGACUGCCCUGGGUGCCACACUCACCCACCUCCGAGAGCAGUGCCCUGCAGAGCAGAGCUGUAGGGUGGGCUCUUCUGGGAAGAGGAGAUGGUUCAUUUGUUGUCUUUUUGUUUUGCUGGAUCUUGAGCCAGCUUCAACCUCCUGCCUCUCCUUAGACUUGGCUGUCCUUUCAGUUGAAGGCUUCAACCAUAAAGCAUUAAGUGGCUGGUGCCCAUCACAGGGUCAGCUUGCACCCAGGGAGGGGCCACGGCACCCUGAGGCCUGUCAGUCAUACUGUCGUAGGUUUCAACCACAAGUUUUUACCCUCCCUUCUCCCUGGUUCUCCCCUGCCUGUGGCUAACAAAGAGUGGGGGUGGAAACAGUUCUUUUUAAGAUCUGCCUCAUUCGAGAUUUUUAAAUUCUUGAUUUGGGUGGGACAAGAGAGAACUUGAUAUUUUCCCCAGAAUAGAGUCCCAAUUUGUAUAUCAGUGUUAAGAAAACAAAACACACACUUAGGUGAGAUUCUCAUGGACUAUUUUUAAAUGUCAUUAAUAUAAGAAAAUUUCUAUUAGCAGUAUUUACACUCUCCUGUAGAAAGCAGGCAGAGGUAAAUGCUCCUGCAGAGUAGUGGAGCUUUAAGACUCGUUCUCUUCAGUCCAUGUUGUUUUGCCAGUGUACUGAUGUGUAGAGGUCUGUUAGACUAAUUAGAGGUCUGUUAUACUAAUGUUAUUUAUUAAUUUUUUUCAUUUCCAUACAGUUAACUAAAGAGCUUUUUCAAGCACCCAUGUCUGUAAAAAAAUAUUUUUAAAUAAAAUUUCUUUUGUUGUAGCACA